This 427-nucleotide ribosomal RNA is filed under the name uncultured bacterium. RNAcentral's name for it is "bacterial SSU rRNA". It matches the Rfam family "Bacterial small subunit ribosomal RNA", at positions 9 to 438 of the family's 1533-position model. The record is from RNAcentral.
GAGUUUGAUCUUGGCUCAGAUUGAACGCUGGCGGCAGGCCUAACACAUGCAAGUCGAGCGGUAGAGAGAAGCUUGCUUCUCUUGAGAGCGGCGGACGGGUGAGUAAUGCCUAGGAAUCUGCCUGGUAGUGGGGGAUAACGCUCGGAAACGGACGCUAAUACCGCAUACGUCCUACGGGAGAAAGCAGGGGACCUUCGGGCCUUGCGCUAUCAGAUGAGCCUAGGUCGGAUUAGCUAGUUGGUGAGGUAAUGGCUCACCAAGGCGACGAUCCGUAACUGGUCUGAGAGGAUGAUCAGUCACACUGGAACUGAGACACGGUCCAGACUCCUACGGGAGGCAGCAGUGGGGAAUAUUGGGCAAUGGGCGAAAGCCUGAUCCAGCCAUGCCGCGUGUGUGAAGAAGGUCUUCGGAUUGUAAAGCACUUUAA